CAUUACACAAAUAUGAAGCCGGACUGGGAUAGGGCCUCGCUGCCUUGCCCGUCUGGCGCCAUAUUCACCCAUGUCUUUUUGCGUACUACUUGUUUCCUUGGCGGGUCCGCCCGCCAAUUGGACCUUAUUCAAACCUUUUUUUCAGUUGCAAUCAGCGUCAGCAAAACAAAUGUAAUCAAUUACAACUUUCAACAACGGAUCUCUUGGUUCUGGCAUCGAUGAAGAACGCAGCGAAAUGCGAUAAGUAGUGUGAAUUGCAGAAUUCAGUGAAUCAUCGAAUCUUUGAACGCACAUUGCGCCCUUUGGUAUUCCAAAGGGCAUGCCUGUUCGAGCGUCAUUUGUACCCUCAAGCUUUGCUUGGUGUUGGGCGUCUUGUCUCUCUCCCGAGACUCGCCUUAAAAUCAUUGGCAGCCGGCCUACUGGUUUCGGAGCGCAGCACAUUAUUUGCGCUCUUGUCCAGCCGCGGUCGCGCGUCCAUGAAGCUUCUUUCAACCUUUUGAC
Molecule: ribosomal RNA, 501 nt
Filed under: Pyrenophora tritici-repentis
Lineage: Eukaryota; Fungi; Ascomycota; Dothideomycetes; Pleosporales; Pleosporaceae
Description: eukaryotic LSU rRNA
Rfam family: 5.8S ribosomal RNA (bases 184-337)
Source: RNAcentral